RNAcentral lists this unclassified non-coding RNA (1242 nucleotides) under Bombus terrestris (buff-tailed bumblebee). RNAcentral's name for it is "misc RNA ENSBTSG00005037866.1". The record is from RNAcentral. Lineage: Eukaryota; Metazoa; Arthropoda; Insecta; Hymenoptera; Apidae.
AAUUUUUCAUAUAAAUUUAGUACGACAGUUCAGUAACGAGUCGUUCCUCCUUAUAAAUUUAAAAAUACGUGUAAGAUAUUUGUUUUUUAACAAUUUGGUAAAAUACUGACCUUAGUCAUUCUAUACAGUGCAUAUUUAAUUUCAUGUUUCUCUUAGAAAUUUGUCCAACAUUUCAUUUACAGGGAACACUAUAAGCGAACUGAAAGUGUUCAUAUCAAAAGCAAUAUACAUACUUAAUAUUUAAAUACAAUGUUAAUUCUGUUCAAAACGAAUAAUUAAUUUGUUAUAUAUACAUACAUAUGUAUGAUAUAUUCGCAAGAACGUCAAUCUUGAGAUCGUUUCCGAACAAAACCAUUGUCUUGGAAAUUGUGUCACACAAUUGCAGCUCUUCCUUGACGAAUUGUACAAGUUCUCACGCUACACGCAAGUACCUUUAUAUCCAAAUGCAGCAUCAGAAGUUUGGCUGCAAGAUGGUCGGUUCGAUCGACAAAAGCUAUCUUUCUCCUCUUUGGGCUGGCACAUACUAACGCGUCUUUCUCUCAACAAGAAUUUGUCAAGAGUUACAGUAGGUCUGGCCAAGACAUCCAUUCUGUCAAAAUGGUAAGCACUACCUAUGCGAUCUCUCUGCAGUGGUCUGGCUAAUACGUUCAUUCUGUCGAAUUGACAGAUACUUCCACCGCGAUCUCUCUGCAAUGGCCUGGCGGGAACCUCCAUCCUAUCGAACUGGCAGAUGCUCAUUCCACGAUCUCGUUGCCAUAAUUUUGGAGAAGCAUCGAAUUGACAAACACUUAUUCCUCUGUUUUGACAGAAAGAUUUGCUUGUCCCGGUUUUGUCCAACUGAUAGACGCUUGUCUUUCGUUCGUCUAACAAUAAUUUCGUGGAAUCGCAGGUCGGCUUAAAAUUCUUUAACGUAUCCUGUUCACUGGAUGAGUCGAGCGUGUUAUUUUCCGUAAAAACGGAGAAUUGAAGGUCGAACGCGCUUUUCGUGCGACGCGCUGUACCUCCGCCACCUGGGAGAAAGGACACACUGGAGCCAAUGAACGCACUGUUUUGCCUCGGUCUCAUUUGUCUCAAAGUGUAGUUCGAGUCGUGCUUUAUUGGACACUCUUCGCAAAGGAUAUUGCAUUUCGAGAAUGUACGUCGGUUCUGCGAACAAACAAACAGAUGAUUUGUAAAUUAAUUUUCAUCGCCACUUUUAAACAGUUCAAUUGAUCUUUGUAAUCUAUUAUACAUUCGUGUUUG